This 253-nucleotide ribosomal RNA is filed under the name uncultured bacterium. RNAcentral describes it as "partial 16S ribosomal RNA". It matches the Rfam family "Bacterial small subunit ribosomal RNA", at positions 524 to 776 of the family's 1533-position model. The record is from RNAcentral.
UACGGAGGGGGCGAGCGUUGUCCGAAGUUACUGGGCGUAAAGCGCGCGUAGGCGGGUUGGUAAGUCCGCUGUGAAAGCCCGGAGCUUAACUCCGGAGGGUCGGUGGAUACUGCCAGUCUUGAAGGUGCUAGGGGGAGAUGGAAUUACCGGUGUAGCGGUGAAAUGCGUAGAUAUCGGGAAGAACAUCGGUGGCGAAGGCGCUCUACUGAACCACAACUGACACUCAGGGACGAAAGCUAGGGGAGCGAAUGGG